AGAACGAACGCUGGCGGCGUGCCUAACACAUGCAAGUCCAACGUGAAAGGGGAGCAAUCCCCCGGUAGGGUGGCAAACGGGUGAGUAAUACAUGGGUGAUCUACCUUAGGGAUGGGGGAUAUCCUUCCGAAAGGAGGGGCAAUACCGAAUAUUGUCCGGAGCCGUGAAGGGGUUCCGGGGAAAGGGAGGGACCUCUGAGUACAAGCUUUCGCCUUAAGAUGAGCCCAUGGCCCAUCAGCUAGUUGGUAGGUAAAGGCCUACCAAGGCUACGACGGGUCGCUGGUCUGAGAGACGACCAGCCACACUGGGACUGGAGCACGGCCCAGACUCCUACGGGAGGCAGC
RNAcentral lists this ribosomal RNA (344 nucleotides) under uncultured prokaryote. Its description in RNAcentral is "bacterial SSU rRNA". It matches the Rfam family "Bacterial small subunit ribosomal RNA", at positions 26 to 352 of the family's 1533-position model. The record is from RNAcentral.